GGGUUGUGAGGUUAAGCGACUAAGCGUACACGGUGGAUGCCCUGGCAGUCAGAGGCGAUGAAGGACGUGCUAAUCUGCGAUAAGCGUCGGUAAGGUGAUAUGAACCGUUAUAACCGGCGAUUUCCGAAUGGGGAAACCCAGUGUGAUUCGUCACACUAUCAUUAACUGAAUCCAUAGGUUAAUGAGGCGAACCGGGGGAACUGAAACAUCUAAGUACCCCGAGGAAAAGAAAUCAACCGAGAUUCCCCCAGUAGCGGCGAGCGAACGGGGAGCAGCCCAGAGCCUGAAUCAGUGUGUGUGUUAGUGGAAGCGUCUGGAAAGGCGCGCGAUACAGGGUGACAGCCCCGUACACAAAAAUGCACAUGCUGUGAGCUCGAUGAGUAGGGCGGGACACGUGGUAUCCUGUCUGAAUAUGGGGGGACCAUCCUCCAAGGCUAAAUACUCCUGACUGACCGAUAGUGAACCAGUACCGUGAGGGAAAGGCGAAAAGAACCCCGGCGAGGGGAGUGAAAAAGAACCUGAAACCGUGUACGUACAAGCAGUGGGAGCACGCUUAGGCGUGUGACUGCGUACCUUUUGUAUAAUGGGUCAGCGACUUAUAUUCUGUAGCAAGGUUAACCGAAUAGGGGAGCCGAAGGGAAACCGAGUCUUAACUGGGCGUUAAGUUGCAGGGUAUAGACCCGAAACCCGGUGAUCUAGCCAUGGGCAGGUUGAAGGUUGGGUAACACUAACUGGAGGACCGAACCGACUAAUGUUGAAAAAUUAGCGGAUGACUUGUGGCUGGGGGUGAAAGGCCAAUCAAACCGGGAGAUAGCUGGUUCUCCCCGAAAGCUAUUUAGGUAGCGCCUCGUGAAUUCAUCUCCGGGGGUAGAGCACUGUUUCGGCAAGGGGGUCAUCCCGACUUACCAACCCGAUGCAAACUGCGAAUACCGGAGAAUGUUAUCACGGGAGACACACGGCGGGUGCUAACGUCCGUCGUGAAGAGGGAAACAACCCAGACCGCCAGCUAAGGUCCCAAAGUCAUGGUUAAGUGGGAAACGAUGUGGGAAGGCCCAGACAGCCAGGAUGUUGGCUUAGAAGCAGCCAUCAUUUAAAGAAAGCGUAAUAGCUCACUGGUCGAGUCGGCCUGCGCGGAAGAUGUAACGGGGCUAAACCAUGCACCGAAGCUGCGGCAGCGACACUAUGUGUUGUUGGGUAGGGGAGCGUUCUGUAAGCCUGCGAAGGUGUGCUGUGAGGCAUGCUGGAGGUAUCAGAAGUGCGAAUGCUGACAUAAGUAACGAUAAAGCGGGUGAAAAGCCCGCUCGCCGGAAGACCAAGGGUUCCUGUCCAACGUUAAUCGGGGCAGGGUGAGUCGACCCCUAAGGCGAGGCCGAAAGGCGUAGUCGAUGGGAAACAGGUUAAUAUUCCUGUACUUGGUGUUACUGCGAAGGGGGGACGGAGAAGGCUAUGUUGGCCGGGCGACGGUUGUCCCGGUUUAAGCGUGUAGGCUGGUUUUCCAGGCAAAUCCGGAAAAUCAAGGCUGAGGCGUGAUGACGAGGCACUACGGUGCUGAAGCAACAAAUGCCCUGCUUCCAGGAAAAGCCUCUAAGCAUCAGGUAACAUCAAAUCGUACCCCAAACCGACACAGGUGGUCAGGUAGAGAAUACCAAGGCGCUUGAGAGAACUCGGGUGAAGGAACUAGGCAAAAUGGUGCCGUAACUUCGGGAGAAGGCACGCUGAUAUGUAGGUGAAGCGACUUGCUCGUGGAGCUGAAAUCAGUCGAAGAUACCAGCUGGCUGCAACUGUUUAUUAAAAACACAGCACUGUGCAAACACGAAAGUGGACGUAUACGGUGUGACGCCUGCCCGGUGCCGGAAGGUUAAUUGAUGGGGUUAGCGCAAGCGAAGCUCUUGAUCGAAGCCCCGGUAAACGGCGGCCGUAACUAUAACGGUCCUAAGGUAGCGAAAUUCCUUGUCGGGUAAGUUCCGACCUGCACGAAUGGCGUAAUGAUGGCCAGGCUGUCUCCACCCGAGACUCAGUGAAAUUGAACUCGCUGUGAAGAUGCAGUGUACCCGCGGCAAGACGGAAAGACCCCGUGAACCUUUACUAUAGCUUGACACUGAACAUUGAGCCUUGAUGUGUAGGAUAGGUGGGAGGCUUUGAAGUGUGGACGCCAGUCUGCAUGGAGCCGACCUUGAAAUACCACCCUUUAAUGUUUGAUGUUCUAACGUGGACCCGUAAUCCGGGUUGCGGACAGUGUCUGGUGGGUAGUUUGACUGGGGCGGUCUCCUCCUAAAGAGUAACGGAGGAGCACGAAGGUUGGCUAAUCCUGGUCGGACAUCAGGAGGUUAGUGCAAUGGCAUAAGCCAGCUUGACUGCGAGCGUGACGGCGCGAGCAGGUGCGAAAGCAGGUCAUAGUGAUCCGGUGGUUCUGAAUGGAAGGGCCAUCGCUCAACGGAUAAAAGGUACUCCGGGGAUAACAGGCUGAUACCGCCCAAGAGUUCAUAUCGACGGCGGUGUUUGGCACCUCGAUGUCGGCUCAUCACAUCCUGGGGCUGAAGUAGGUCCCAAGGGUAUGGCUGUUCGCCAUUUAAAGUGGUACGCGAGCUGGGUUUAGAACGUCGUGAGACAGUUCGGUCCCUAUCUGCCGUGGGCGCUGGAGAAUUGAGGGGGGCUGCUCCUAGUACGAGAGGACCGGAGUGGACGCAUCACUGGUGUUCGGGUUGUCAUGCCAAUGGCACUGCCCGGUAGCUAAAUGCGGAAGAGAUAAGUGCUGAAAGCAUCUAAGCACGAAACUUGCCCCGAGAUGAGUUCUCCCUGACUCCUUGAGAGUCCUGAAGGAACGUUGAAGACGACGACGUUGAUAGGCCGGGUGUGUAAGCGCAGCGAUGCGUUGAGCUAACCGGUACUAAUGAACCGUGAGGCUUAACCUUACAACGCCGAAG
RNAcentral lists this ribosomal RNA (2924 nucleotides) under Escherichia coli. RNAcentral describes it as "23S ribosomal RNA". It matches the Rfam family "Bacterial large subunit ribosomal RNA". Lineage: Bacteria; Pseudomonadati; Pseudomonadota; Gammaproteobacteria; Enterobacterales; Enterobacteriaceae. The record is from RNAcentral.